GAUGAACGCUGGCGGCGUGCCUAAUACAUGCAAGUCGAGCGAACGGACGAGAAGCUUGCUUCUCUGAUGUUAGCGGCGGACGGGUGAGUAACACGUGGAUAACCUACCUAUAAGACUGGGAUAACUUCGGGAAACCGUAGCUAAUACCGGAUAAUAUUUUGAACUGCAUGGUUCAAAAGUGAAAGACGGUCUUGCUGUCACUUAUAGAUGGAUCCGCGCUGCAUUAGCUAGUUGGUAAGGUAACGGCUUACCAAGGCAACGAUGCAUAGCCGACCUGAGAGGGUGAUCGGCCACACUGGAACUGAGACACGGUCCAGACUCCUACGGGAGGCAGCAGUAGGGAAUCUUCCGCAAUGGGCGAAAGCCUGACGUAGCAACGCCGCGUGAGUGAUGAAGGUCUUCGGAUCGUAAAGCUCUGUUAUUAGGGAAGAACAUAUGUGUAAGUAACUGUGCACAUCUUGACGGUACCUAAUCAGAAAGCCACGGCUAACUACGUG
This 497-nucleotide ribosomal RNA is filed under the name uncultured bacterium. RNAcentral describes it as "partial 16S ribosomal RNA". It matches the Rfam family "Bacterial small subunit ribosomal RNA", at positions 28 to 507 of the family's 1533-position model. The record is from RNAcentral.